Molecule: ribosomal RNA, 495 nt
Filed under: uncultured bacterium
Lineage: Bacteria
Description: partial 16S ribosomal RNA
Rfam family: Bacterial small subunit ribosomal RNA
Source: RNAcentral
GACGAACGCUGGCGGCGUGCCUAAUACAUGCAAGUAGAACGCUGAAGGAGGAGCUUGCUUCUCUGGAUGAGUUGCGAACGGGUGAGUAACGCGUAGGUAACCUGCCUGGUAGCGGGGGAUAACUAUUGGAAACGAUAGCUAAUACCGCAUAAUAGCAGUUGUUGCAUGAUAACUGUUUGAAAGGUGUAAUUGCACCACUACCAGAUGGACCUGCGUUGUAUUAGCUAGUUGGUGGGGUAACGGCUCACCAAGGCGACGAUACAUAGCCGACCUGAGAGGGUGAUCGGCCACACUGGGACUGAGACACGGCCCAGACUCCUACGGGAGGCAGCAGUAGGGAAUCUUCGGCAAUGGACGGAAGUCUGACCGAGCAACGCCGCGUGAGUGAAGAAGGUUUUCGGAUCGUAAAGCUCUGUUGUAAGAGAAGAACGAGUGUGAGAGUGGAAAGUUCACACUGUGACGGUAUCUUACCAGAAAGGGACGGCUAACUACGUG